GAGCGUAUAGCUCAGUGGUAGAGCACAUGCUUAGCAUGCACGAGGUCCUGGUUCAAUCCCUAAUACCUCCA
Molecule: transfer RNA, 71 nt
Filed under: Camelus bactrianus (Bactrian camel)
Lineage: Eukaryota; Metazoa; Chordata; Mammalia; Artiodactyla; Camelidae
Also listed under: 3 other names
Rfam family: tRNA
About the family: Transfer RNA (tRNA) molecules are approximately 80 nucleotides in length. Their secondary structure includes four short double-helical elements and three loops (D, anti-codon, and T loops).
Source: Rfam by way of RNAcentral